UAGGGAAUCUUCCACAAUGGACGCAAGUCUGAUGGAGCAACGCCGCGUGAGUGAAGAAGGUCUUCGGAUCGUAAAGCUCUGUUGUUGGUGAAGAAGGAUAGAGGCAGUAACUGGUCUUUAUUUGACGGUAAUCAACCAGAAAGUCACGGCUAACUACGUGCCAGCAGCCGCGGUAAUACGUAGGUGGCAAGCGUUGUCCGGAUUUAUUGGGCGUAAAGCGAGCGCAGGCGGAAUGAUAAGUCUGAUGUGAAAGCCCACGGCUCAACCGUGGAACUGCAUCGGAAACUGUCAUUCUUGAGUGCAGAAGAGGAGAGUGGAACUCCAUGUGUAGCGGUGGAAUGCGUAGAUAUAUGGAAGAACACCAGUGGCGAANGGCGGCUCUCUGGUCUGCAACUGACGCUGAGGCUCGAAAGCAUGGGUAGCGAAC
Molecule: ribosomal RNA, 427 nt
Filed under: uncultured bacterium
Lineage: Bacteria
Description: partial 16S ribosomal RNA
Rfam family: Bacterial small subunit ribosomal RNA
Source: RNAcentral